UACAUUUUUUUUUUUUGGUAAUAGAGAUUGAACCCAGGGGUGCUUCACCACUGAGCCCCAUCCCCAAACCUUUUUAUUUUUUAUUUUUUGAGACAGGGUCUCACUAAGUUGCUUAGGGCCUUGCUUAGUUGCUGAGGCUGGCCUCACACUUUUGAUCCUCCUGCCUCAGCCUCACAGCACAUGGAAAAGGGAAGAUUCCGGAGUCCCCCCCCCCCCCCCCCCGUCAGAACUGAGCUUUCCAAGGGCAUCGUACACCCCAGGGGUAAAAGGGGCGAUCCCAAGACACCCAAGGAGGGAGCCGGGGCACACCCCGGAGCCCCACGGCCUCUGCCCUGCCCAGCCCUUUCAGACUUCCCACAAAGCCCCCAGGAAGUCAUCAGAGGCCACAUCUGAGGAUGAGGCGCAGGGGCCUCUGUGGGUGGCUAUUGGAGUGAGACGGCCCGGACAGAAUCGGGUGGACAGGACGCUGCCUCAGCAGGCGGGGAUGUGCUGCGCUGUCAGAACGUGCCCAUAAAUAGGGCGCUCCUGGAGGCAGGCCGAGUCCGCAGCGCGUCCUGGUCCCCGUCCUUCCCGAGGCUACAGCAGCAG
RNAcentral lists this long non-coding RNA (588 nucleotides) under Marmota monax (woodchuck). Lineage: Eukaryota; Metazoa; Chordata; Mammalia; Rodentia; Sciuridae. The record is from RNAcentral.